RNAcentral lists this transfer RNA (74 nucleotides) under Cricetulus griseus (Chinese hamster). It matches the Rfam family "tRNA". From Rfam's summary of the family: Transfer RNA (tRNA) molecules are approximately 80 nucleotides in length. Their secondary structure includes four short double-helical elements and three loops (D, anti-codon, and T loops). Further hydrogen bonds mediate the characteristic L-shaped molecular structure. tRNAs have two regions of fundamental functional importance: the anti-codon, which is responsible for specific mRNA codon recognition, and the 3' end, to which the tRNAs corresponding amino acid is attached (by aminoacyl-tRNA synthetases). tRNAs cope with the degeneracy of the genetic code in two manners: having more than one tRNA (with a specific anti-codon) for a particular amino acid; and 'wobble' base-pairing, i.e. permitting non-standard base-pairing at the 3rd anti-codon position. Lineage: Eukaryota; Metazoa; Chordata; Mammalia; Rodentia; Cricetidae. The record is from Rfam by way of RNAcentral.
GUGGAGAUGACUUGGUGGGGAAGAGUGCUUGCCUUGAAAGCAUGGGGAAUUGAGUUCAAAUCCCAAUACUCACU